GCGAUUGCCCUAGUAACGGCGAGUGAAGCGGCAGCAGCCCAGAUUUGGAAUCUGGCCCCCUUGCGGGGCCCGAGUUGUAAUCUGCAGAGGAAGCGUCUGGCGCGGCGCCGGCCUAGUUCCCUGGAACGGGACGCCGUAGAGGGUGACAGCCCCGUACGGUCGGCCGCCAAGCCUGUGUGUCGCUCCUUCGAAGAGUCGCGUAGUUUGGGAAUGCUGCGCAAAGUGGGAGGUAUGCUCCUCCUAAGGCUAAAUACCGGCCAGAGACCGAUAGCGCACAAGUAGAGUGAUCGAAAGAUGAAAAGUACCUUGAAAAUGGGGUUAAACAGUACGUGAAAUUGCCAAAGGGGAAGCGCUCGUGGCCAGACUCGCGCCCGGCGGAUCAUCCGGCUCUCCCGCCGGUGCACUCUGCCGGGCUCGGGCCAGCGUCGGUCGGCGCCGGUACUGAAAGGCGGUGCGAAUGUGGCUCCCUUCGGGGAGUGUUAUAGCGCGCCGCGUAAUGUGCUGGUGCCGUCCGAGGACCGCGCUUUAUGCAAGGACGCUGGCGUAAUGGCCACUAGCGGCCCGUCUUGAAACACGGACCAAGGAGUCGCCCAGAGGCGCGAGUGUGCGGGUGACAAACCCCUGCGCGUAGUGAAAGCGAACGCUGGUGGGAGCCCUUACGGGCGCACCACCGACCGAUCCUGAUGUCUUCGGAUGGAUUUGAGUAUGAGCGUCUCUGGUCGGACCCGAAAGAGGGUGAACUAUGCUUGGGUAGGGUGAAGCCAGAGGAAACUCUGGUGGAGGCCCCGUUUGGGUUCUGACGUGCAAAUCGAUCCAUAAACACUGGGCAUAGCGGC
Molecule: ribosomal RNA, 836 nt
Filed under: Microthecium ciliatum
Lineage: Eukaryota; Fungi; Ascomycota; Sordariomycetes; Coronophorales; Ceratostomataceae
Description: eukaryotic LSU rRNA
Rfam family: Eukaryotic large subunit ribosomal RNA
Source: RNAcentral